Molecule: long non-coding RNA, 1903 nt
Filed under: Setaria viridis
Lineage: Eukaryota; Viridiplantae; Streptophyta; Magnoliopsida; Poales; Poaceae
Description: long non-coding RNA (SVIR_LNC002466)
Source: RNAcentral
UUAAUGCAAGCCAACAGCUGGACCUGUUGUUGGCCAAGCUGGAGCCUGACAUACGUACGUUUGCACACAACCCUUUUUUAAGCCAAUCAUGCUACAUGCAAUCGCUUCUUCAUGCAUCAAGACUGACCGGCUUCCAUCAGGAUCAGGAUCAGGCUCAGGCUCAGGCUCAUGAGUGUGUGGUGGCGAGUACUUUUAUUUGUGUGUCCAAGAAAAGAGUUCAUGCAUGUUCAGAACACAAGCAAAUAAACAGCAUUUGACUCCUCAUCAUCAAUAGUAUAAUCCAAUCCGCAUCGAUCUCUUCUCACCCCCUGCUCGUAUAUAUGGGAUUUCCUUGCUAUUCUUUUUUUUAGCAAGUCAAAGGUUGGAGGCGAACUUUUAACCUAACAGCGUAUUAGUAUAGUUUUGCAUGUCAUGGAUCAGCAUCAAGAUCUUGGAACAGUGGAUUGGAGGUGGGGAGAUAUAUGUUGGCUGCUGCAGAACCCGUCGCUCGGUCCCGCCCUAGCUUUCCGAGCUGUCCACUGCGGAAAGGUGGCAGCUAGGGCAAUGCAUGCUUGAUCUGGAUCGCUUCAAAUAAUUGGUGCCUCGAUCGCUCAUUAAGACAUUAACUAGCUAGUUGCUCGAUCAUGGAUUAGACUAGUGCUAUAGUACUUUUUGUUUCACUAAUAAGCUUCGAGAAAAAGGCUGGUUUUGUCUACUUAUGCAUUAGAUCUCGUGCAUAUGGGAUACAUGAUGAAUUCCACUUGAAAGACAAAAUGUGGAGAGAGAAAAAAAGAAUAGGUGCAUGAAGACAAACUGGAGAGGAUAAUAUUGCAAAGAAUAAGUAGUUUUAUUAGUGAGGGAUAAGGGUACCCACGGAUCCCCACCGACCAGGAUACUGGUCGGCCCUAAUAGGUAAGCCUGCUCGAUCACGUUGUACGGGCCAAGGCAUGAAGAUACGUGGAGCACAAGCUUGGAAGCCGGGUGAAUGGAUUCUGCUUAGAUAUUGCGAGAUACUUGUUGUAGUCCGAUUCAAAUUUCUUUCCAUGUAACAACCGACUAGGAUUAGAUCCUAUUCGAUUGUAACUCUAGGUCGUCAGCCUAUAUAAGGCGGCCAGGGACGCCCCUCGAGGGUACCUCAGCUCCUCACAUCCCAUACCAGCAAUACAAUCUACCAGAACACAUGACAUAGGGUAUUACUCUCCGGAGACCCGAACCUAUCUAAACUUUGCGUCUCUGUGUUACCAUUCGAGUUCUUGUUCUCACGAUCUCCCCCGCCUACAAAUCUACCACCUGGGUAACCCCUGGUAGACUGCCGGUCACUAAAUACGACAAUCACCCCAUCCCAAAUUACUAUUCAUUUUAGCUUUUCUAGAUGCAUAGCUUUUCACUAGUAGAAAAAUGACCUUCCAUCCUCAAACAAAAAUUUCGGUUGUUUUUGAAUCCGGGACUAAAACCUCUUUAGUCUCGGGUCUAAAUUUUGUAGUCCAUGGAGUUACCUUUAGUUUGGGUCUAAAUUUUACAUGUGUGGGGGGCCUCGCGGCAAUUUAGAAUAUUUUUUGGCGCAAAACCUAAAGCUAAAGGAAGGUCUUUAGUCUCGAUUAAUUAGUACCGGUUGGGAAAAUCGAGAUAUAUGAGGUUUCUCAAUCGGAACUAAUACUCGUUGUUUAUUAUGCAUUUAGAUAUAUAUUAUGUUUAGAUAGGUAGCAAAAGUUAUGCAUCAACAAAAGUCAAAACAAAUUGUAAUUUAGGAUGGAGCGAGUAUACGCUGUCAUCCAUGCAGGGGUGAUGGGUUGGUAGUGGUAAACGAAUACUGUACACGAUGCGUUUUAGCUGUUGAGUUUGGUGCCUUUGUCAGGAGAGGCACAUGGUACUGUGCGCGGCCAGAAUUCGCGGUGCAUGGUACCGUGGUACGUGCAAGUACCAC